RNAcentral lists this non-coding RNA (29 nucleotides) under Mus musculus (house mouse). The record is from RNAcentral. Lineage: Eukaryota; Metazoa; Chordata; Mammalia; Rodentia; Muridae.
UAGAAAGGCUGCGGGUGACUCAUCUGGUC